Molecule: long non-coding RNA, 712 nt
Filed under: Coturnix japonica (Japanese quail)
Lineage: Eukaryota; Metazoa; Chordata; Aves; Galliformes; Phasianidae
Description: lncRNA (ENSCJPG00005003410.1)
Source: RNAcentral
CUUUGGGAAUAUUCCAUAGUACAGUCUUUUACUUUUCAAUUUCAGGACUUCCAUACAAUUCAUGAAAGAUACAAAUAGCUUUCACAUAAGUGUGAUUUGAGGGUAGAUUUAUAUUGCUUGUUUUUUUAUGUUUAUUGUUUUCUAUUUGUAAAAAGGUCUUUGUGUGUUGGAGAAUAAAAGCUGAGUUAAUGCACUGCACAUUACAACUGUUAACAAUCUGGCACAAGUUAACUGGUAAAGGUCAAACUACAUAAAAUUACUCCAAUAGAUUCUGAAAAUUUAAGUGCAGCUGUGGAUUGGAACAUAAUAUUAUAGUGUAACACAUGGUGAAUGUUCCUAGAAACCCAAAAGGCUAUCAGGAAUGAACUGAACUAUUUGUGCUGGAAAAAUCCUGAUCUAAGGUUAACAGUUUACAUGGAUUCAAAAAGAAACUGAAGUAAUCUGGAGAAGAAAAAACAAAAUGAAAGCUGUUAAGUCCAAGAGGUGACCUCAACCCUAGGAAUCCUCUGCAGAGUUGCAGGCUUUGAGUGAAUCCUGGAAUAGGACUCAGUUUUUUGUCUUGUGUUUUAUUCUUCUGGAGGAAUCCACCUGAGGCCAGUUCUGCAGACAGAAUUCAGGGCAGGAUGAUCUGAUUUUUUAACCAUUCCUGUGAUUUCUCUUAGGAUUCCACAUACUCUCACACAAAUUAAAACAUGACUGAACACAGAAAGAA